ACUAUACAAUAAUAUAAUUUAACCUUUAUUUUGGUAUUUUCAAAAACUUUGUGUUAACAAAAUCAAAUUACUAAAUACAAAGAAACACACUAAUUUAUGUAACCAUGUCUAGGUAGAAAACAUAGCCAGUCGUUUAAGAAGUCAAAUUGGUGAAUCAUUUUCAUGUGAUUCUUAAUUAAUUUAAAUGAAUUGUCCGACUGAACCGGUUCACUGGAAUGAAUCGGACUUUCAAACGUUACAUAUGAGUGAGAGGAAGAUUUAUGAUGAACCGAUUCAUUAGAAUGAAUCAAACUGCGGUAUAUGGAAGAAAGAGAGAAGGCCGCUCAGGACAAACAAAUCAUCAAGAAUUCCAGCGCUACAUACAAGAGGAAGGCUUGUUUAGAUUCUGUGACCAUUGACAAGCAUUGUAGAGUGAGAGACUACAACGUCUGAAGUGAAAAAAAUCAUAAAUAGUGUUCUACUGAAGAAGUAAAGUCACCUACAUCUUGGAUGCCCUGGGGUGUCCCUCUGAGUGAGGCGGAGGGGAGAGAGGAUGGCACUCAGCACAAUCCAAAGCAUAUGGCCUGUUGUUUGUCUUCGUUACCAGCAAUCUAACAGAGAGCAGUGACUGUGUCGACGGACGGA
Molecule: long non-coding RNA, 624 nt
Organism: Cyprinus carpio (common carp)
Lineage: Eukaryota; Metazoa; Chordata; Actinopteri; Cypriniformes; Cyprinidae
Exons: 3
Source: RefSeq, a predicted model, not a curated record